RNAcentral lists this ribosomal RNA (497 nucleotides) under uncultured bacterium. RNAcentral describes it as "partial 16S ribosomal RNA". It matches the Rfam family "Bacterial small subunit ribosomal RNA", at positions 28 to 507 of the family's 1533-position model. The record is from RNAcentral.
GAUGAACGCUGGCGGCGUGCCUAAUACAUGCAAGUCGAGCGAACGGACGAGAAGCUUGCUUCUCUGAUGUUAGCGGCGGACGGGUGAGUAACACGUGGUUAACCUACCUAUAAGACUGGGAUAACUUCGGGAAACCGGAGCUAAUACCGGAUAAUAUAUUGAACCGCAUGGUUCAAAAGUGAAAGACGGUCUUGCUGUCACUUAUAGAUGGAUCCGCGCUGCAUUAGCUAGUUGGUAAGGUAACGGCUUACCAAGGCAACGAUGCAUAGCCGACCUGAGAGGGUGAUCGGCCACACUGGAACUGAGACACGGUCCAGACUCCUACGGGAGGCAGCAGUAGGGAAUCUUCCGCAAUGGGCGAAAGCCUGACGGAGCAACGCCGCGUGAGUGAUGAAGGUCUUCGGAUCGUAAAACUCUGUUAUUAGGGAAGAACAUAUGUGUAAGUAACUGUGCACAUCUUGACGGUACCUAAUCAGAAAGCCACGGCUAACUACGUG